UCUACAAAGAUAAAACAAAGGGUACAAAAGACACUAAAAUACUUAGUUAUAUGGAUAUAUAAGUGAUGUGAGAUGUAAACUUUUUAAUUAUUCAUGAUACAUAUAUAUGUAAGAGAUGUUUUAUAAGAGAAAAUUUGAUUUUCUAUACUUAGAAAAUCAAAUUUUUUUUUCCCUAAACCAAAAAUUUAAAACCUAAAAAAACUAUUCCUUUUUUUUCAAAACCCCAAAAAUACCCCCCUCACAAUAUUCUCUCUCUCUGCAUCAUCUCUCUCUCCCUCUAUCUCACCCCAACCGCCCACCCUCACCCGAACCACCCUCACCCACCCACGUCAACCCCAACGCCGAUCACCACCCUCACCCCCGUCGACCACGACCCCAACCCCUCCGACCCCAACCCCAACCCGAAAGAGCAACCCCAGUCCGACCCCAACCCCAGUCUCUGAAACUUUUUUUUUUUUUCCUGCGAUUUGAGAGAGGGAAGAAGACAGAGGUCCGAUGGUCGGACCUUGGGGGUCCGAUGGGUCCGACCAUCGGACCCAUCGGACCCCAAGGUCCGACCGUCUUUUAAAUUUUUUUUUUCUGCGAUUUUGGAGAGAGAGGAAGAAAGAGGUCCGACCGGCUUUUAAUUUUUUUUUUUUUCCUGCGAUUUGAGAGAGAGGGGAAGAGAGAGGUCCGAUGGGUCCGAUUGGUCGGACCCCAUCGGACCCCAUGGUCCGACCAUCGGACCUGGGGUGUGGGAUUCUUGGGACCGGCUAGAUAGAGAGAGAAAGAGAGAUAGUUUUAGUUUGGGGGUAUUUUUG
Cannabis sativa is the source of this 800-nucleotide long non-coding RNA. RefSeq lists it as uncharacterized. The transcript is spliced from 2 exons. NCBI's taxonomy places the organism in Eukaryota, Viridiplantae, Streptophyta, Magnoliopsida, Rosales, Cannabaceae. The record is from RefSeq and is a predicted model, not a curated record.